RNAcentral lists this long non-coding RNA (482 nucleotides) under Ananas comosus (pineapple). Its description in RNAcentral is "long non-coding RNA (ACOM_LNC007687)". Lineage: Eukaryota; Viridiplantae; Streptophyta; Magnoliopsida; Poales; Bromeliaceae. The record is from RNAcentral.
AAAAAACAUGUCUAUGCCGACGCUUUUAUGUCGACACUUUUUAAAAGCAUCGUCAAUUUUCUCUAUUGUCAAAAUUUUACCGACACUAGGGUUUAGAGUCGCUAUAUAUAACGCGGGAAACAAAAAAAAAAAAGCGCUUACUAAUUAAACAAGCACUGAGAAUUUUGUAUUCCAAAAAAAAUGCGUUCGUAUAUGUAUUAAUAAGGCAGAUUACAGAUACUAAAGCUUCGGUUGAUUCGGGUAUAAAUAAGAACUAGUUAUUUUAGAAAUAAGUAUUAGUUGAUAUAUAAGUAGGAACUACAUUAAUUUUUCAUUUGAAUAAAAAUUGGAUUAUUUUUGAAAAGAAGAAAAAUAGCGUUCAAAUAAUUAGAGUGGAACAGUGAGAAUAAAAAUAAUUAUAGUUUUAAAAUAAUAAUAUUUUAUCUAAUUAAUUAAAAUAUUAAUUUGGUGGGAAUAUAGAUUAAACUAAACUAGAAAUUUAU